This is a long non-coding RNA of Hordeum vulgare subsp. vulgare (domesticated barley), 1844 nucleotides long. RefSeq lists it as uncharacterized. NCBI's taxonomy places the organism in Eukaryota, Viridiplantae, Streptophyta, Magnoliopsida, Poales, Poaceae. The transcript is spliced from 4 exons. The record is from RefSeq and is a predicted model, not a curated record.
CUGAUUGAGCUCAACCCAUCUCCCCCUUUCCCUCGACCGCCUCAGGCGUGGCGGCGGCAGCCAAGGGAAUCCCACCCUCCGACCCAUCUCCCCCUUUCCCUCGACCGCCUCAGGCGUGGCGGCGGCAGCCAAGGGAAUCCCGCCCUCCGACCCAUCUCCCCCUUUCCCUGGAUUGCCUCAGGCGCGGCUACUCCCACCCUUCCCGGUGCGGCGGAUAGUGUCGCGGCGCCCACCCCCUCAGACAGGAGCCUCUGCGCGCGGCGCGGCACACCUUACGUCAGGACUACCGGCGCAGCUCCCCUUUUUGUGCUGCCAGCACCCUUCCCGCAAGACCGCUGGCUCAUCCGGCAGGAACGCCGGCCCUCUUCGUGCGGCGCGACGCUCCUCCGGCAGUACCGCCGGCGCCCUCCCUCUGCGUGCGCCGUAGCGCCCCUCCAGCAGGACUGCCAUCCCUCUGCAUGCUGCGCCGUGCCCCUGCAGCAGGACGGCAGGACCAACCCUCCUCAGCGUGCGGCGUCGCGCUUCACUUGCUGCGUUUCUCUUCUUGAUAUUGUCCCACCGGAGUUCCGCCCAAGAUGCAUCCGGCGUCAAUGGGGAAGUCGAAUUCGAUCGCUUCCACCGGAAUUGGACCGGUAGCUCACGUCCGGAGAUGGUACAUGAGUGGCUUUUCUCUGGUGGUCACGCCGUUCUCAGCAAUGGACUGCAAGUGACUGCUGCCCAUCCUGACACCGUCCAUGAACGUGAAGGUGCCUAACUGAUGGUUGGCGUUCCCUCUCCUAAUAAUGUUGAUGUUGGCGCUCCACCUCCUCUCCCCACCGUCCCCACAAGAAACUAAUGGAUUUUUACCCUUUAAAGUCUGCUCCAUCGACCUCCAGUGCUGUUGGGUCUCUCUGCCACAACCCUCAUACAGCUGCCGGCUGUACCUGCUCCAUGACACCCAAGUAGUCAUCUUCGUUCGUCUUCUCUCUCUGCCUAUACAGACGCAUUUGGUUUCUACGUCCUACUGGUACAUAGUCUUUUCAACUUCCCCUCAGUUGCUUUGCUAAUUCUGGAUUUUGUUUGCUGAAUAUCAGUCUGAAUUUAAUUUUCCUUCAUUGAUGUAAUUCUUUACAUGCGAAGAUUAAACACAAUUACACAAACAUGACCAUACUCCUUCCAAAACAUACAAGCAAGAGUAUGUAUUACUUCAAAAGUCUCACAAAAACAAUGUUUUUCCUUCAAAUAUUUACAAUGCCAGAUAUUCUCCUUACACAGCAAUGCAAACAAUAAAAAUCCAGCAACCGACCAUGCAGUGGCGGAGCUACACCAAAAUUACUGGAGGGGCCAAACACAAAAUAUAAACAUUUCAGGAGAUAAACUAUAAUUUUUUCUUCCAACUAAUCUCUCUGUUUAUUUUUUCCUUCAAAGAAUUGUGCAAAGCUGGGGGGGCCACAGCCCCCCAAGACUACGCUAAGCUCCGCCAGUGCGACCAUGAACAGCAGUAGUAAACCAAAGAAGCGGGCCAAAUAGGAGAACUUACACUAUCCUACAGACGAAAAAUAACCUUCAACUCCUACGGCCAAUUUUUCUUCUUUUCAUUACCAUUUUCCCGAGAUUUCAUUGUAACCCAGAAGUGUUCAUCUGGGACAUCUUUUGUUUCAUGCAACAAUACUAUGUGACGUUCGGUGCAACAACCAAAUUUUCUUCUUCUUUUCAUUCCCAUUUUCCUGCGCUUCCAUUGUAACCCAGAAAUGUUCAUCUGGGACAUCUUUUGUUUCAUGCAACAAUACUAUGUGACGUUCGGUGCAACAACGUGCAUAUGCAUUGAUAUAUUAUAAACAAGACUCAUGGCUCAAAAUUUCCUA